This 250-nucleotide ribosomal RNA is filed under the name uncultured bacterium. RNAcentral's name for it is "partial 16S ribosomal RNA". It matches the Rfam family "Bacterial small subunit ribosomal RNA", at positions 524 to 773 of the family's 1533-position model. The record is from RNAcentral.
AACGUAGGAGGCGAGCGUUAUCCGGAUUUACUGGGCGUAAAGCGCACGCAGGUGGCCUGGCAAGUUGGUUGUGAAAGCUACUGGCUUAACUGGUAGAGGCCAAUCGAGACUGCCGGGCUUGAGGUUGGGAGAGGGGUGUGGAAUUCCCGGUGUAGUGGUGGAAUGCGUAGAUAUCGGGAGGAACACCAGUGGCGAAAGCGGCACCCUGGCCCACACCUGACGCUGAGGUGCGAAAGCGUGGGGAGUAAAC